AUAAACGCUGGCGGCGUGCCUUAGGCAUGCAAGUCGAACGAAUUCUAGCUUGCUAGAGUUAGUGGCGGAAGGGUGAGUAACGCGUGGGAACGUACCUAUUGGUGGAGUAUAGCCUUCCGAAAGGAGGGGUAAUACUGCAUAAGUUCGUAAGAAGAAAGGGCUUAACCGCCCGCCGAUAGAGCGGCCCGCGUCCUAUCAGUUUGUUGGUGGGGUAAUGGCCUACCAAGACAAUGACGGGUAGCUGGGCUGAGAGGUCGGCCAGCCACAAGGGAACUGAGACACGGUCCCUACAUCUACGGAUGGCAGCAACCGGGAAUCUUGGACAAUGGGGGAAACCCUGAUCCAGCGACGCCGCGUGGGGGAAGAAGGCCUUCGGGUUGUAAACUCCUUUUGCCAGUUAUAAUGACUUGGCGAAUAAGCACCUGCCAACUACGU
This 435-nucleotide ribosomal RNA is filed under the name uncultured bacterium. Its description in RNAcentral is "bacterial SSU rRNA". It matches the Rfam family "Bacterial small subunit ribosomal RNA", at positions 29 to 506 of the family's 1533-position model. The record is from RNAcentral.